CCUACGGGAGGCAGCAGUGGGGAAUAUUGCACAAUGGGGGAAACCCUGCUGCAGCGACGCCGCGUGAGUGAAGAAGUAUUUCGGUAUGUAAAGCUCUAUCAGCAGGAACGAUACAAGACGGUACCUGACUAAGAAGCCCCGGCUAACUACGUGCCAGCAGCCGCGGUAAUACGUAGGGGGCAAGCGUUAUCCGGAAUCACUGGGGGUAAAGUGAGCGUAAACGGCUUGGCAAGCCUGAAGUGAAAGGCUGGGGCCCAACCCCGGGACUGCUUUGGGAACUGUACGGCUGGAGUGCAGUAGAGGUAAGUGGAAUUGCUAGUGUAGCGGUGAAAUGCGUAGAUAUUAGGAGGAACACCAGUGGCGAAGGCGGCUUACUGGACUGUAACUGACGUUGAGGCUCGAAAGCGUGGGGAGCAAACAGGAUUAGAUACCCUUGUAGUC
This 441-nucleotide ribosomal RNA is filed under the name uncultured bacterium. RNAcentral's name for it is "partial 16S ribosomal RNA". It matches the Rfam family "Bacterial small subunit ribosomal RNA", at positions 338 to 795 of the family's 1533-position model. The record is from RNAcentral.